This 429-nucleotide ribosomal RNA is filed under the name Acidobacteriota bacterium. RNAcentral's name for it is "Acidobacteria bacterium partial 16S ribosomal RNA". It matches the Rfam family "Bacterial small subunit ribosomal RNA", at positions 355 to 776 of the family's 1533-position model. Lineage: Bacteria; Pseudomonadati; Acidobacteriota. The record is from RNAcentral.
UAGGGAAUCUUCCACAAUGGACGCAAGUCUGCUGGAGCAACGCCGCGUGAGUGAAGAAGGUUUUCGGAUCGUAAAGCUCUGUUGUUGGUGAAGAAGGAUAGAGGUAGUAACUGGCCUUUAUUUGACGGUAAUCAACCAGAAAGUCACGGCUAACUACGUGCCAGCAGCCGCGGUAAUACGUAGGUGGCAAGCGUUGUCCGGAUUUAUUGGGCGUAAAGCGAGCGCAGGCGGAAGAAUAAGUCUGAUGUGAAAGCCCUCGGCUUAACCGAGGAACUGCAUCGGAAACUGUUUUUCUUGAGUGCAGAAGAGGAGAGUGGAAUUCCAUGUGUAGCGGUGGAAUGCGUAGAUAUAUGGAAGAACGCCAGUGGCGAAGGCGACUCUCUGGUCUGCAACUGACGCUGAGGCUCGAAAGCAUGGGUAGCGAACAGG